GGCGCAGCAGGACUCCCGCCGCCCGCGGGCCGUGCGGGGAGCGGCCGGGAGGGACAUGAGCCCGCCGGGCACCGCAGCGGGCGGCGGCCUCGCAGCCCGGCGGCCGCGGCGCCUCCAGCUCCCCCUGCGGCGGCUGCUCCUGCUGCUCUGGCUGCAGGCCGCCCGCCCUGCGCAGGGGCAGCGGGCUGCAACAAAUAGUUCAGUCCCAGAUGUCUGUGCCACUUGCCAUGCUAACGCCACGUGUCAGCAAAAAGAAGGCAAAAACGUCUGCAUCUGUAACUAUGGAUUUGUGGGUAAUGGGAGGACUCAUUGUCAAGAUAAAGAUGAAUGCCAGAUUGGAGCUAGCAAGAUCUGUGGCGAGCAUACAUCAUGUCACAAUACACAUGGAAGUUUUUACUGCAUUUGUCUUGAAGGAUACCAUCCCUCUAACAACAACAAGAUAUUUAUUCCCAAUGAUGGCACAUAUUGUGCAGAUAUAGAUGAGUGCCAGGUGUCAGGUCUGUGUGGUGUCGGGGGACGAUGUGUGAACACUAUCGGAAGCUACAGCUGCUACUGUAUGGAAGGAUAUAGACCAGAAAAUGGAACAGAAUUUUUUCAUCCAGCUGGGAACACUGUUUCGUGCAAAGCUGUGGAUUGUGGGGUCCCACCUUCUGUCUUGAAUGCACAUUCAGCUCCUCUAAGGCGGACCACCUAUGGAAGUGAAGUUGCUUAUAUUUGCCUACAUGGUUAUGUUAUGGAAAGUGGCAACCAGACUGCAGUUUGUAAUGCCAAAGGACAAUGGGAAGGUGCUGAUCUGGUGUGCAAAGAAAUAGACUGUGGCAGACCUUUGUGGAUUCCACACGCAGAAAUGAUCUGGGACAACUCCACAACUCUAGGAAGCAUGGUGUACUAUAAAUGUAGUGAAGGGUUUCAUUUUAGUGGAGAGAAGAAUUUUUCGCAAUGCACAAUAAUUCAGAAAUGGGAAAAUAUCACUGGUGCAUGUGAAGUAACGGACUGUGGCAGACCUCCUUCAAUCCCCAACACAGACAUGAUUUGGAACAACAUUUCCCAGCUGGGGAGUUCAGUGCACUACCAAUGUAAGAAGGGAUUCCGCAGCAUAAAUGGGAGUAAUACGUCACGUUGUAUUUAUAAUGGAUCCUGGGAAAUUCCGGCUAUAAUAUGUAAAGAAGUAGACUGUGGCAUUCCUCCACCAAUACAACAUGCUGAGCUAAUGUCGAAUCCCAGUUCGAGUCCUGGGAGUGUGGUGCAGUAUUCAUGUCAGAAGGGAUUUGAAUAUGCUGGUGGAAACAAUAUUUCCGUUUGCACAGAAGAAGGUGUUUGGGUAAAAAGCACUUUAACAUGCACAGUGAAGGCAGCCAUUGGGAAUGUGUCUAUAUUUAAUCAAACCUGUAUGAAGUGGAGAAGGAGCACUAGAGAAACCAACUUGAAGACUGUGUAUUUGUUUCACAUACAAGGGCGAAGACGGCAUCAGGAGGCAUUUUUUCAUGAAGCAGAGUUUAACUUCACAGCAGAGGAAGAGACUCCAGAGCUGUGUCUAGACCUACAGGCAGGCAUGAACUACACUGUGACCAUCACUGUAGUGUCUCCUGAGCCCUCAAGACCGGUCACUGUAACAAUCAAGACAGCUGAAGAGGAAGGAUUCGGCAAUGUUUCAGUAUUUAAUGAUACCUGUUUGAAAUGGAGGAGACGUUCUGGAAGAAUUGGGGUGAAGGAAACCUACCUCUUUCACAUACAGGAACAACAGGGAUACUUGUUGAAGUCCUCCCAUGAAAUGAUGAUUAACUUCACCACAGAGGAAGAGAACCCAGAGGUGUGCCUGCCUCUGCACCUGGGUGUAAACUACACUCUGACUAUCACUGAGGCAUCUACCAAGCUUGUGUUACAAAUCCCCAUAAUGCUCCCAGCAACUGGAGAGGAAUUGCUCAGCAAUGUGUCCAUAUUUAAUGAAACCUGCGUGAAGUGGCAGAGAAAAGUUGCAAGAGCUGGGACAAAGGAAACAUACACAUUUCGUAUAUUGGGACGAAGAUGGUACCAGAAGGAAUUCUCUCGUGAAAUGAUAUUUAACUUCACAACAGGUGAAGAGACUCCAGAGGUGUGUUUAGAGCUGAACUCCGGUGCUAACUACAUGGUGAACAUUACUACAGCAUCCUCUAAGGGGACCUCAGCCCUAAUUACUAUAGCAAUUAAGACAGAAGUAAAGGAAGCCUUCAGUAAUAUGAGGAUACUUAACGACACCUGCUUGACAUGGAGGCGAAGCAUAAGGAGCGCUGAUAGGAGAGAAAUCUAUUCAUUUCACAUACAAGGUCGACGUUGGUAUCAGAAGGAAUUCUUUCACGAAAGGGCCUUUAACCUCACCACUUACGGACAGACUCCAGAGGUGUGUCUUGAUUUGCACCCAGGCACCAAUUACACCGUGAAUAUUUCCACGGCAGCUUUGGAUCUUUCUGUGUUAGUUUCCAUGACAACUCCAAUUAUUGAUCCUCCAUUCCCAGAAAUAGAGUUUGUAACAGUACACGGUCCUGUGCCAGCACUCAGCCUACGGAAAGCAGAAGAUAGAAAUGGACCUAUCAGUUUUUAUCAAGUGAUUGUGCUUCCUUUGGCCUUGCAAAGCACAUUUACUUGUGAUUCCCUGGCUGCUGUGACUUUCUUUAGCAAUGCCACUGAGGGUUAUGUGGCAGCUGAAUUCCUGGCCAAGGAUGUUGCUGACAACAUGCUGAUCUCUCUUGGAGACCGACAUUAUUAUGGGGCAUUCUAUAAUGCUCCCUUAAAGCAGGGGAAAGAUUACUGUGUGGUACUGAGAAUUAUAAGCCAAUGGAAUAAGGUCACCUUUAAAUAUUCUCCUACAGUUUUGGAAACCCAAGCCCCAUAGCAUUGUACGAAUGAGAACCAAAAAAUGAAAAUGGCUUUUAAUAAAAUUGCAGCGUAUGCACCUGUCCAAGCUGAGUGAAAUGCGAAAGACUGAGGGAACUGUGAGGGACAUCCACUUACACUAGCCAAAUGUCAUGCCGCCUGAUCCGCAACAGGGAAUGCCGGGAGAGCAUCAGGGAAGGAGCUAGGAAAGCUGAGAUAAUGGAUGAGUACCAUUUUUCCUAAUGAUAAAUUUGGCAGGUGAGAAGUGGGAAUUCUGGAGAGAGAGGGGGCUUGGGAAAUAGCUACAGAUUGCCUGGCACUAUCAUGAAAACCUCCAUUAAGCAGAACAAAUUGUCCAUCCCUGGAUGUCUCCUCAGUGAGAGAGUGGUGUUAUUUAAUUAGCUCCAACCCAUCUGGUGCCUGUUUCAGUCUCCACUGAUUGCUUUAUGGAUUCCAUACCUCUCAACCUGCCAACGCCCAAAAUGAAAGAUACUUCGAAAAUAAUAGUGCUUGGAGCUUAAAAUGAUGUGGGAUUCAUUUCUUUAGCAUAAAUAAAGCCUUCUACAACCCCAGUUUCAUCAUUCAGCAUUUGUGGAGUGAAUAUGUAAUAAAGCCACAGUAAGUCUGCGAGGGAGGGAGGUAAAUUUGGUAUUCCAGUUAGAGUAUUUUGUAGUAUGUAGUACAGGCAUCAAAAUGGCUAGGGGUAGAAAGUUGAAAUUUGGAAUAUAAGGAACCCUAAUUGAGGGGAGAAUGCCUUUAACUGUUCUGACAACUGGUCUUGAAAAAUUCAUGGUGUGCACGCAUGUGCAGUACAUUGCUUGUGUUUUCUCUCCUAAACAUGGAAAGUGCACAGCUGUGGAAGGCUAUACUGUCUAUGUGUGCAUGACUAACUUAUCUACAUAGUGAAAAGGGCAGUAUGUAGGCUGAAGCAAGGAAUCCAUUGGGAUCUCUUGGCUCAAUCCCAGGGGACCUUGUUAGGUGCAUGAUAUUAGGGGAGGUUGCCUCAUACAGAGUGAAGUCCUGUAGGUCUGUUUUUGUUCAUUCUUUACCCUAUCUUUUAUCCUUUUAAACAGCUAGAAAAUCCCAUAGCAAAGACUAUAUUAAGUAUCAUUGAGGUUGUAUAGAAGCUCAAAAUAAAGCCCCAAACGAAGAUUGUCCCUUUGUGCAGAUGCAUCAUGACUUAGUCUUUAAUUACAUGAUAACAUACCAUUUAUCCACUGCAAUAGUAUACUUUUUUGUCUAAAACCUUCAAUAAAAUAUAUGUAAAUACCAGAGUCCAUGUUAAACCAUGCCAGUAUAACAUACUUCAUAUUAAGUAUACACCAUAGAGCAGUACUAUACUUAAAAUGUAUAUGUAUGUUUGAGGAUGUGAGAUGCAGAAAAAGAAAACAGAGACGAGAACACAUCAAAAAAGAGAGGAAAACUGAUUAAACAAGAAUUUAUAGAAAGUCUGUCCAUAAUGAUAGUUUGGAUCAUUGUGAAAAUUAAACUAGUGUAAGCACUGUAUUAAAGCUUCUUUAAAAAUUAUAAGGUGCUAAAUGUGUAUUCAAGGGUGGAGAAAACACUGUGUACUAUAUUAUUCGAGACACAGUGAGUGACCAUGUAAUUAAACACUGUAUAGGAAUCUGUAUAUGCGAAUAGGGGGCAGAGUUAAGACUGCACUUGCAACGUUAACUUUGGUAUUUCCCAACUUUUUGAAAGCUUAACCAUGCAACUUUAUAGCCCUCGCCCUGGAAGGUUUUUAGGUAUCCAUUCUUUUCUGUCCAAAAGAUGAGAGCUAGACUCUCCUCAAACCUUUCUCUUUAAUCUUAUCUUUAUAGCCUGGAGCCUUCUCAGGAAAGCUUGGUGAUCUAGCAAAACCAUAGGAAUCCAUUCCCACUGCAAUACAUUUAAAUGUUUCUUGUCUGAAUGCCUUUGCUGAUGGUGCAGGCUUGUUGAUUAAAUACAUCUCCUGGGAAAAUAGUGACAUUGGUUAUGUUUUCCCUUCCAGGUGAGGACACAAUCUUGUGCAGUUUGGGCACAAAUUGAAGAUUUAUCAUCCACUCUGCAACAUAUGACUCUUGCUGGAUUAGGGUCAGUCACUGCUAUCUGCCUUAUACUGUUCUUGUCCUUCUUGGCAGCACGUUCUUAUCUCCACAGC
RNA transcript from Chelonia mydas (Green sea turtle), 4990 nucleotides. It is a transcript of the gene named sushi domain containing 1, with no coding region annotated. The record is from RefSeq and is a predicted model, not a curated record. Lineage: Eukaryota; Metazoa; Chordata; Testudines; Cheloniidae. The transcript has 21 exons.